GUUGGAGAGCAUGUAACCUGCACGAGAUUGAAAUCAUUUUAGGGUUAGGGUUUAAUGGUACUAAAACAUCUAACCUGGAGUGGUCAACAUCAGUCCUGCAGAGUUCAGCUUCAACCCUAAUCAAACACACCUGAACCAACUAAUCAAGGUCUAAGGGCUUCUAGAAAGCUACAGUUAAGACUUCAUGCUGGCACGUUCUGAAGGAACUUGAUUCUUGUUUUCUUCAAAAAGCGAUCUGUGAGCUUGAGGAUUAAAAGCUCAUUGCAGUUUCAAAUGUUUCGUUGUUGCUGGAAAUGGGUGAGGAACAUUA
Onychostoma macrolepis is the source of this 310-nucleotide long non-coding RNA. RefSeq lists it as uncharacterized. The transcript has 3 exons. The record is from RefSeq and is a predicted model, not a curated record. NCBI's taxonomy places the organism in Eukaryota, Metazoa, Chordata, Actinopteri, Cypriniformes, Cyprinidae.